UACGUAGGGGGCAAGCGUUAUCCGGAUUUACUGGGUGUAAAGGGAGCGUAGACGGCACUGCAAGUCUGGAGUGAAAGCCCGAGGCCCAACCACGGGACUGCUCUGGAAACUGCGGGGCUGGAGUGCAGGAGGGGUAAGCGGAAUUCCUAGUGUAGCGGUGAAAUGCAUAGAUAUCGCGCAGAACUCCGAUUGCGAAGGCAGCAUGCCGGCUCCACACUGACGCUGAGGCACGAAAGCGUGGGUAUCGAACAGG
RNAcentral lists this ribosomal RNA (253 nucleotides) under uncultured bacterium. RNAcentral's name for it is "partial 16S ribosomal RNA". It matches the Rfam family "Bacterial small subunit ribosomal RNA", at positions 524 to 776 of the family's 1533-position model. The record is from RNAcentral.